This 168-nucleotide ribosomal RNA is filed under the name Diplospinus multistriatus (striped escolar). RNAcentral describes it as "partial 12S ribosomal RNA". Lineage: Eukaryota; Metazoa; Chordata; Actinopteri; Scombriformes; Gempylidae. The record is from RNAcentral.
CACCGCGGUUAUACGAGAGGCCCAAGUUGAUGAAUACCGGCGUAAAGCGUGGUUAAGAAAGAAUAUUACUAAAGCCGAAUGCCUUCACAGCAGUUAUACGCACCCGAAGCAACGAAGCUCCACCACGAAAGUGGCUUUACAAACUCUGACCCCACGAAAGCUAUGACA